RNAcentral lists this ribosomal RNA (336 nucleotides) under uncultured bacterium. RNAcentral's name for it is "bacterial SSU rRNA". It matches the Rfam family "Bacterial small subunit ribosomal RNA", at positions 775 to 1107 of the family's 1533-position model. The record is from RNAcentral.
GGAUUAGAAACCCGGGUAGUCCACGCCCUAAACGAUGUCAACUAGCUGUUGGGUUCUUCGGAGCUUGGUAGCGCAGCUAACGCGUGAAGUUGACCGCCUGGGGAGUACGGUCGCAAGAAUUAAAACUCAAAGGAAUUGACGGGGACCCGCACAAGCGGUGGAUGAUGUGGAUUAAUUCGAUGCAACGCGAAAAAACCUUACCUAUCCUUGACAUGUCUGGAAUCCCGAAGAGAUUUGGGAGUGCUCGCAAGAGAACUGGAACACAGGUGCUGCAUGGCCGUCGUCAGCUCGUGUCGUGAGAUGUUGGGUUAAGUCCCGCAACGAGCGCAACCCUUG